Molecule: long non-coding RNA, 1582 nt
Filed under: Homo sapiens (human)
Lineage: Eukaryota; Metazoa; Chordata; Mammalia; Primates; Hominidae
Description: HSALNT0375053
Source: RNAcentral
ACCCUAGAUCAAGAGGAGAGGCUCUCCAGAUUUGCUGACCUAGAAGGAUAAGUCUGAAAGUAGGAGGGUGGGGAGAGCCAGAUGAACAAGGGAGGUGAAAACGUGAUCUAGGGAGGCAUCCGAGUGAGCAAAGGCACGAGUGAGCCUGGUACACUUCUGGGCAGGCAGAAGGAAGGCAGUUAGGCUGUUAGGAAGGCAGUUAGGCUGCAGUGAAUUCUACAAAGAGGCUAUGGGAAAGAAACCUGGAAAGGUAGGGAGGUAUGGAUAUGGACAAGCUAUGCCAAGGAGCAGGGCUUUGUCAUGGAGAGUGACUAGGUGCUUUUACAUAGGAAAGUCACCUGAUAAUAUUAAAACCUGUGAAAUAUCACUCUGGUGGAAGUGUGAAUGAAUUUGAAAGGGGUGUAACACUGUUCUACUUUGUUUACUCCUCAGUACCCUUGGCUGUGUACAUUUGAGUAAAGAGAGCACUAUAAAAUCAAAAACCAAUGAAAUGGUUUCCAGAACACAGAACUAUUAAGCUUAAGAAAAGGACAGAAGGAACUGAAGAGAGAGGAACUGUUUUGGAGCAUCACACUUCCACCUCAGAAGAAAUAAGGAAGGAAGGAGGAGGGUGUUCCCACGGCUCUUCAACCAGGCCGGCUCUUCAGCCUACAUCCCCAUCUCAUCAAGUAAAAGGGAUUUUUCAACUGGACCAACCAGAUGGUUUAACAGUGCACUCCCACACCAUUCAACUACGCAAGGGAGAUACACUUAACAUAUGCAGUCGUAUAACACCUACUAACAUUUUCAAACAUUAAACCUUUAAAAAAGAGUUCUAAAGAAAUAGAAGCUUGAAGUAUCAUCUCUCAAGUAUAUAGACACUACUUCAUGGUGUGGUAAUAUAUGCAUAUAGAAGCUAGUAAACACCUCCAGGAGAUGCAAAAGGAAUUAGAACUGCCACAAGGUGCAAGCAAAACCUUGAGGUAAGCCUGUUCUUUACUCAGUACAUUUUUCCUCUUCGACAUUGUAGGUAUGUUAUCUCCAUCAUCCGUAUUUGUCUAUUGCAGUCUCCAUUGAUGGUGAAGUAUUUUCACUAUUUGGCAUGUCUUCUCUAGUACCUAGAGCAGUGCGUUGCAUGCAGUAGCAGGUUUAUAAACAUUUGCGAGUAAAACAUCCAACCUGAUACUCAAGGUGAGAAAAUCGAAUUUGGACACCGUUGAGGAGACUAUUGCAGUCAUCCAAGCUCAAGAUGGUGGAGCUUCAUCCUUGAGAAUAACCAAUGGGGAUAGAUUUAAGAGACACUUAGAGUCUGCAGCCAACAGGGCUGAAUGAGCAGAGAGUUAUGAUUCAGAAGAUCAUCUAAAAUUGAACAGCUGCCACUACUGGCAAUAAGUCUACUGCCAUUUGGUAGAUAACCUUCUUAUCACACAGAAAAAUAUCAGUACAGACAAAUAGACCGCAAAGAAAAUGAGACCAUCAGCAAAGAAGAUAAAGAAGUUUGUACAAAGCAACUUUUUAUAAAUGGAUGGCUGUCAGGCAAAAAUAAAUUUCCUGUGGACAAGACCAAGAGCAAGGCAAGAGGAAAAUAAACAUGUUUAAACUA